AAUCUACCCUCAUUGCCUUGAUUUGUGAUUCUGGAGCUGGAGCCAGUGUCAUUUCUCUUUGGUAGCUGGCAGAAUGGCAUGUCUGAGAGACAGCCACCCCGCAGUGUUCCCCUUCUGCACGCCCUCAGCCAUAGCAAGAGAUUUCCAGUAUCUCAGACCCAUGCUGUCCUAACCCGCAACAGAAGAUUUUGUGCUCACCAGUCCAUGCUUAUGGUUUCCUGCACUCUAGCCUCACCACAAAGUCUAUGGACCAUGCCUAGGCUAAGGCAAUCCAGCCAGUUGCACCGUCCUGUUGUCUGAAACUCAGCACCAGAGAGGAGAUUCCUUCCCAAGUCAGCCCCUUCCUUUGCACUGUCUCUCCGUCCUAAGAAUUCUCGUGUAUUCCUUCUUUCUGGUGUGCUAGAAGUCUCCUGCAGGAAUGUUGGAAAAUCAGCUGGAAGCUGACGUUGCUGGUCGCUGGCAUACAUGCUAUUGUACCAACUACCGAAGAGACAUAUUACCAGUUCCAACAGACUCUGCCGUGAUUCCUCACACCAAUACGGAUGCAGGGGAAGACAGAAGUUCUGGGAGGCAAUCCACCCAGAUCUUCCCUUCAUGUGAGAAAACAGCCAUUCCUCGAGACCAGACAAUACCAGGGAAGCAAGAUCCUAACAACUUCUGGGGGCUAGGUGGAAAUUCUACCAUGUGUGACCUGGAGCUGGGGAAAGAAAUGAGGGCUACCUGGCCUGCCGCUGCGUGAGGAGAGCUGCCAGCCUCAGGGCUUCAGGAC
This 769-nucleotide long non-coding RNA is filed under the name Macaca mulatta (Rhesus monkey). RNAcentral describes it as "lncRNA (ENSMMUG00000058125.1)". Lineage: Eukaryota; Metazoa; Chordata; Mammalia; Primates; Cercopithecidae. The record is from RNAcentral.